GACGAACGCUGGCGGCGUGCCUAAUACAUGCAAGUCGAGCGGACGGAUGGGAGCUUGCUCCCAGACCGUCAGCGGCGGACGGGUGAGUAACACGUGGGCAACCUGCCUGUAAGACUGGGAUAACUCCGGGAAACCGGGGCUAAUACCGGAUAACUCUUUCCCUCACAUGAGGGAAAGCUGAAAGAUGGCAUCUCGCUAUCACUUACAGAAGGGCCCGCGGCGCAUUAGCUAGUUGGUGAGGUAACGGCUCACCAAGGCGACGAUGCGUAGCCGACCUGAGAGGGUGAUCGGCCACACUGGGACUGAGACACGGCCCAGACUCCUACGGGAGGCAGCAGUAGGGAAUCUUCCGCAAUGGACGAAAGUCUGACGGAGCAACGCCGCGUGAGUGAUGAAGGUUUUCGGAUCGUAAAACUCUGUUGUCAGGGAAGAACAAGUACCGGAGUAACUGCCGGUACCUUGACGGUACCUGACCAGAAAGCCACGGCUAACUACGUG
This 498-nucleotide ribosomal RNA is filed under the name uncultured bacterium. RNAcentral's name for it is "partial 16S ribosomal RNA". It matches the Rfam family "Bacterial small subunit ribosomal RNA", at positions 28 to 507 of the family's 1533-position model. The record is from RNAcentral.